UAGGGAAUCUUCGGCAAUGGGGGGAACCCUGACCGAGCAACGCCGCGUGAGUGAAGAAGGUUUUCGGAUCGUAAAGCUCUGUUGUUAAGGAAGAACGAGUGUGAGAAUGGAAAGUUCAUGCUGUGACGGUACUUAACCAGAAAGCCACGGCUAACUACGUGCCAGCAGCCGCGGUAAUACGUAGGUGGCAAGCGUUGUCCGGAUUUAUUGGGCGUAAAGCGAGCGCAGGCGGUCAAUUAAGGCUGAUGUGAAAGCCCCCGGCUCAACCGGGGAGGGUCAUUGGAAACUGGUUGACUUGAGUGCAGAAGAGGAGAGUGGAAUUCCAUGUGUAGCGGUGAAAUGCGUAGAUAUAUGGAGGAACACCAGUGGCGAAGGCGACUCUCUGGUCUGUAACUGACGCUGAGGCUCGAAAGCGUGGGUAGCAAACAGG
Molecule: ribosomal RNA, 430 nt
Filed under: Bacteroidota bacterium
Lineage: Bacteria; Pseudomonadati; Bacteroidota
Description: Bacteroidetes bacterium partial 16S ribosomal RNA
Rfam family: Bacterial small subunit ribosomal RNA
Source: RNAcentral